AGUCGAGCGGACAGAUGGGAGCUUGCUCCCUGAUGUUAGCGGCGGACGGGUGAGUAACACGUGGGUAACCUGCCUGUAAGACUGGGAUAACUCCGGGAAACCGGGGCUAAUACCGGAUGGUUGUCUGAACCGCAUGGUUCAGACAUAAAAGGUGGCUUCGGCUACCACUUACAGAUGGACCCGCGGCGCAUUAGCUAGUUGGUGAGGUAACGGCUCACCAAGGCGACGAUGCGUAGCCGACCUGAGAGGGUGAUCGGCCACACUGGGACUGAGACACGGCCCAGACUCCUACGGGAGGCAGCAGUAGGGAAUCUUCCGCAAUGGACGAAAGUCUGACGGAGCAACGCCGCGUGAGUGAUGAAGGUUUUCGGAUCGUAAAGCUCUGUUGUUAGGGAAGAACAAGUGCCGUUCAAAUAGGGCGGCACCUUGACGGUACCUAACCAGAAAGCCACGGCUAACUACGUGCCAGCAGCCGCGGUAAUACGUAGGUGGCAAGCGUUGUCCGGAAUUAUUGGGCGUAAAGGGCUCGCAGGCGGUUUCUUAAGUCUGAUGUGAAAGCCCCCGGCUCAACCGGGGAGGGUCAUUGGAAACUGGGGAACUUGAGUGCAGAAGAGGAGAGUGGAAUUCCACGUGUAGCGGUGAAAUGCGUAGAGAUGUGGAGGAACACCAGUGGCGAAGGCGACUCUCUGGUCUGUAACUGACGCUGAGGAGCGAAAGCGUGGGGAGCGAACAGGAUUAGAUACCCUGGUAGUCCACGCCGUAAACGAUGAGUGCUAAGUGUUAGGGGGUUUCCGCCCCUU
This 800-nucleotide ribosomal RNA is filed under the name Bacillus amyloliquefaciens. Its description in RNAcentral is "bacterial SSU rRNA". It matches the Rfam family "Bacterial small subunit ribosomal RNA", at positions 60 to 841 of the family's 1533-position model. Lineage: Bacteria; Bacillati; Bacillota; Bacilli; Caryophanales; Bacillaceae. The record is from RNAcentral. RNAcentral also lists the same sequence under 1 other name.